GGGCAUUGGAAUUGGCAAAAAUUUGUAGGCUGAUUUAGUAGUCAAGUUCUUCUAGAGAUUGCAAGGACUAGACCUCCACAAGCUUAUGAUAUGGAUGACAGGUGCUCAUGGCGAUGAACCAACAAUGGAAGGCUAAAGGUGGCGGAUGGUUAUAAGAUUUUGAAUCAACACCAAUAGGGUAGUGCAGACUCUAAAUGGGACCUAAUGUGGAAGCAUAGAAGAGUAAGACCUCCACGGUUGAAAGAGUUUUUGUGGUUGGCUUGUCAUGGUAAAC
Molecule: long non-coding RNA, 274 nt
Filed under: Gossypium barbadense (sea-island cotton)
Lineage: Eukaryota; Viridiplantae; Streptophyta; Magnoliopsida; Malvales; Malvaceae
Description: long non-coding RNA (GBAR_LNC016221)
Source: RNAcentral